AAUAAUAUGCGGUAUUACCUGCGCCGCGAAAAAUCUCGUCGAGCCCGGCGAUAGGUAAUCCGAAUUGUCCGCGCGGGAACGACGGGAACCGGAAACACGUUGGAUUUCGAAUAGUAGUUAUCGACGGCGACGGCGACGAUUGUAAUAAUAUCGUUGUUGUUCGUUCGUUUCGACGGUGUUGCGCGCGUAUAAAAAACAAAAAAAAUCGUUCAACUCGAGCCCGGCGAAAAAAAAAAAACCUCGAAAAAUUAACCGAUAAAAAAAAAAAAAAAAACCACGGUGAAUUAUUCCGCGACCGAACCGAAAUAUCCGAGUAACCGUAACGGAGUCCGAACCG
Molecule: non-coding RNA, 337 nt
Organism: Cinara cedri
Lineage: Eukaryota; Metazoa; Arthropoda; Insecta; Hemiptera; Aphididae
Source: the annotation of a GenBank genome assembly